RNAcentral lists this ribosomal RNA (274 nucleotides) under uncultured Trebouxia photobiont. Its description in RNAcentral is "partial 18S ribosomal RNA". It matches the Rfam family "Eukaryotic small subunit ribosomal RNA", at positions 1560 to 1831 of the family's 1831-position model. The record is from RNAcentral. Lineage: Eukaryota; Viridiplantae; Chlorophyta; Trebouxiophyceae; Trebouxiales; Trebouxiaceae.
CUGCAUCGUGAUGGGGAUAGAUUAUUGCAAUUAUUAAUCUUCAACGAGGAAUGCCUAGUAAGCGCGAGUCAUCAGCUCGCGUUGAUUACGUCCCUGCCCUUUGUACACACCGCCCGUCGCUCCUACCGAUUGGGUGUGCUGGUGAAGCGUUCGGAUUGGCGUUAGUGGGCGGUUUUCCGCCUCCUCUCGCUGAGAAGUUCGUUAAACCCUCCCACCUAGAGGAAGGAGAAGUCGUAACAAGGUUUCCGUAGGUGAACCUGCGGAAGGAUCAUUG